UCUCCCUUGCAUGCUGGAUUCUCGACCCGUUGGGAUUUUCCAUUAGCAAGAAAAAUUCUUAAUUCCCUUGGGGGAUUAUUUCCCCCAAAAGAAAUUACCUCCCUUGUCCAUUGAAGUUAACCCAAUGCCUUGGGAAAUUUUUAUCCCAUGGAGGUGGGAUUUCCAAAUAUGUUGUAUUUCAAUCUAAGAACAGGAUUUAAAUUUGUAUUUCCAUUAGUGAAAAAAAUUAAAUAU
RNAcentral lists this long non-coding RNA (234 nucleotides) under Carica papaya (papaya). RNAcentral's name for it is "long non-coding RNA (CPAP_LNC001877)". The record is from RNAcentral. Lineage: Eukaryota; Viridiplantae; Streptophyta; Magnoliopsida; Brassicales; Caricaceae.